Molecule: unclassified non-coding RNA, 905 nt
Filed under: Melitaea cinxia (Glanville fritillary)
Lineage: Eukaryota; Metazoa; Arthropoda; Insecta; Lepidoptera; Nymphalidae
Description: misc RNA ENSMCXG00005008164.1
Source: RNAcentral
AAGAAAUUGAAGUAUUUACUACAUUCAAAGUACCUACUAUUAUUUUAAAUCAAUAUAUUGCGUUCGUCAUUUCGCUUCUUAAUAUUUUUGUUUUAAACAAUAAUAUCAUUAUAAUAUAAUAAUUUUAUAUGCACAAGGAAUUGUAUAUACAGAUAAUUAUGGGUCAUGCAUAAAAUACUUAUUCCGAUAUAGCAUCCCUGUAUGGUAUAAAAAAAUUGUAUUGCCAUAAUUUAGUAUUCAUAUACACAGGGUACAAAAUAAGCACAUAUUUACAAUGGUCCCGUUUAGUAUUUUAUUUACAUUAGCCAACAUUUUUCUAGAAAAAGUUAGUGUUUUCUAUAUAAUUUUUUUUUUCGGUAAAUUUUAUCUUAUUGUACAAGCGUCUUUUUAUAUAACAGCUUUUUUUAUUAUACAGAGUGUUCGACUCGUAACUAUGUUCCGUAAGUGGGGGGUUCCGUAGGUGUUUAUAGAUCUGAUAGGGGUUCUUAAUUUUUUUUAUAUAACUAAGUAGCAAACAGGCGUACGGCUCACCUGAUGGUAAGCGAUUACGAUAGCUUAUAGACGUCUUGCCGACCCUAUCCACGAUUCCCUUCAGGAACUGUGGUGUUCUUACUCACCAACAGGAACACAACACUGCUUGAAAAUAGUAUUAUUUAGCUGUGAUCUUCUGUAAGGUCGAGGUACUAACCCAGUCGGGCUGCUCCAUAUUUUGAGCAGGAAAUUUUCUGCUGUACCCUACCUCAGUUUAACCGUCUAUUUAAACAAAGCCAAGUUUUAAAAUGGGUUAGAUUUUUUGUCCGCGCGUAUCGUGAUCUACACAUAUAAAACCUCAUUUGAACGAACGUAGUUAGGAAUCGAACUCAUGUAUGUAUGUAGUAAUACAAGUAAACGGUACUGUUCCGUGU